GUGGCAAGAAACACGGCGACGUUGGGAUGCAAGGCUUUGAGCAUGACUCUCUUGACAACCACUUCUCUCGAGGAAAUAAACUGUUUGGCCAACAGCUUUAAAGGCACAUUUUGGACUGGUGGCUCUAGCGAGGGAAUCAAUUGCAAGGGCGAAAAACAAUACGCGUGGUGUUCAACUGGUCACUUGAUGUCUCCAUCUCUGCUCUCAAUGGCUAAAUUUUGGCUCUCAACCAACGCCAUGGCUGUUAAUACCGUGGAAAAAUGUCUGGCCCUCACAAUCUUGGACAGCACAAACAAAGGGAUGGUGCACAAGAAAUGCGACGAUGUGUUGCCUUUCGUUUGUCAGUUCUCGACCGACUGCCCACAGCAGUGCGACAGAAAUCCUUCAUUGUUUGAUUCAACUGGAAACUUGAAAAGUAAA
This is a long non-coding RNA of Cloeon dipterum, 420 nucleotides long. RefSeq lists it as uncharacterized. The transcript is spliced from 3 exons. The record is from RefSeq and is a predicted model, not a curated record. Lineage: Eukaryota; Metazoa; Arthropoda; Insecta; Ephemeroptera; Baetidae.